Molecule: ribosomal RNA, 510 nt
Filed under: Triticum aestivum (bread wheat)
Lineage: Eukaryota; Viridiplantae; Streptophyta; Magnoliopsida; Poales; Poaceae
Description: partial small subunit ribosomal RNA
Source: RNAcentral
AUGUCCGGCCUUGGUGAGUUGUAUCACUUCCUCAGCAUUAAUGUCACCCCCAACACCUCCGGGUUGUUCUUGAGUCAGCAACAGUACAGUCUCGAGGUCCUCGACCGCGCCAACAUGCUCAAUUGCAAAUCUGUUUCCACACCCAUAGACACAACUGCCAAACUUUCCGCUACCGACGGCCGUCUUCUUUCCAACCCCACUACAUACCGGAGUCUUGCUGGAGCAUUGCAAUACCUCACCCUUACCCGACCAGACAUCUCCUGCGCGGUGCAACAAAUUUGCCUCUUCAUGCAUCAACCACGGGACAGUCACAUGCAGCUCAUCAAGUGUGUCCUUCGCUAUCUUCGGGGCAUCACUCACUUCGGCCUUCAACUCUUCAAGUCUGCCUCACUUGAUCUCGUGUCUUACACGUAUGCCGAUUGGGCCGGCUGCCAUGAUACACAUAAAUCCACGUCGGGGUUCUGUGUUUUAUUGGGCAACAGUCUGAUCUCUCGGUCGUCCAAACAAUAA